UGGGGAAUAUUGCACAAUGGGGGAAACCCUGAUGCAGCGACGCCGCGUGAGUGAAGAAGUAUUUCGGUAUGUAAAGCCCUAUCAGCAGGGAAGAAGAUGACAGUACCUGACUAAGAAGCCCCGGCUAACUACGUGCCAGCAGCCGCGGUAAUACGUAGGGGGCAAGCGUUAUCCGGAUUUACUGGGUGUAAAGGGAGCGCAGGUGGCAAGGCAAGCCAGAAGUGAAAACCCGGGGCUUAACCCCGCGGAUUGCUUUUGGAACUGUCUGGCUGGAGUGCAGGAGGGGCAGGCGGAAUUCCUGGUGUAGCGGUGAAAUGCGUAGAUAUCAGGAGGAACACCGGUGGCGAAGGCGGCCUGCUGGACUGUAACUGACACUGAGGCUCGAAAGCGUGGGGAGCAAACAGG
Molecule: ribosomal RNA, 405 nt
Filed under: uncultured bacterium
Lineage: Bacteria
Description: bacterial SSU rRNA
Rfam family: Bacterial small subunit ribosomal RNA
Source: RNAcentral